Molecule: ribosomal RNA, 498 nt
Filed under: uncultured bacterium
Lineage: Bacteria
Description: partial 16S ribosomal RNA
Rfam family: Bacterial small subunit ribosomal RNA
Source: RNAcentral
AUUGAACGCUGGCGGCAUGCUUUACACAUGCAAGUCGAACGGUAACAGGUCUUCGGAUGCUGACGAGUGGCGAACGGGUGAGUAAUACAUCGGAACGUGCCUAGUAGUGGGGGAUAACUACUCGAACGAGUAGCUAAUACCGCAUGAGAUCUACGGAUGAAAGCAGGGGACCUUCGGGCCUUGUGCUACUAGAGCGGCUGAUGGCAGAUUAGGUAGUUGGUGGGGUAAAGGCUUACCGAGCCUGCGAUCGGUAGCUGGUCUGAGAGGACGACCAGCCACACUGGGACGGAGAGACGGCCCAGACGCCGACGGGAGGCGGCGGUGGGGAAUUUUGGACAAUGGGCGAAAGCCUGAUCCAGCAAUGCCGCGUGCAGGAUGAGGGCCCUCGGGUUGUAAGCUGCUUUUGUACGGAACGAAAAGCCUGGGGCUAAUAUCCCCGGGUCAUGACGGUACCGUAAGAAUAAGCACCGGCUAACUACGUGCCAGCCGCCGCCGUAA